Molecule: long non-coding RNA, 1810 nt
Organism: Bombus impatiens (common eastern bumble bee)
Lineage: Eukaryota; Metazoa; Arthropoda; Insecta; Hymenoptera; Apidae
Exons: 2
Source: RefSeq, a predicted model, not a curated record
UCUAUUCUUAGAAACAGUGGUUACGCCAACUCACCAUUAUGUAAUAAUUUGCGAUACCUAUGUGUCUCUCGCAGCACGCUGCACUAUGGCCUUGAUCACAUCUUUUCUCGAUUCAUUAAAUUCUUAGGUAGUUUAUCCGUAAAAUCGACCAAUGAUCGAUAUUUCUUUAAAAUUCGAACUCAGCUAUGUAUUUAAGCCACGAAAGAAAUUUUUUAACAAAUUUUCGACACUGUUCAAAAUAUUUUUCUUCUGGAACCAUACGUAUAUCCUUAUCGACUCCUGGCGAAAACCCGUAUCGGAUUAACAAGUAUCAGGUUUGCAACACGCCAAUUAACAUCGUUAUAUGGUAACAUGAAUAGACAGUAGCAUUUCGUUUGACUUGGUGGGGUUCGUUUGUAACAUUAGCAUUCUGCGCUUUUUCUGCAAUCUCUCGCCAAAUUGGUAAUGCAACCUAAAAAGUAAAAUUUCCUUAGAAUUUGGCAAAUAAGGGAAAGCGAUAGAGAUAUGUAUAUUUCCUACUCUAACUCGUUACUUGCCAAUUCACCGAUAUUAUUGACAAAUUAUUGUGCAAGACCGAGUUCGAUGACACCCGCCACAAUGAAUCGAGCGUAACACGUAUCGCGUUUUUGGUCACAGGACGUUGCGUUCGCGCGAACAUCUCGUAACACUUAUCUCCGCGUCGAUCUCGUGUCUAAAAGUGCAACGCACUUAAUCUACAUAAGCUAGACGAUGCAAGUGGACACGGAUUUCCUUAAACGAAAGUGUGGACGGCGUGUUUGGUAUCAAUUCAUCGUGUCGAAGCCGCAUUCGGACAGGCGCCCCUUCACCGAUUUGUUCCGCUUUCCGUUAAAGGCUACACUGCGAGCUGUAAACAUGUCCUCGAAACGAUUAAACCCGUAACCAAUGGGGGCCGCGAAUUCAAAGAUACAUACGUAUCCACACCCGUGCACCUGACAUGUCGUUUUUACUUGUCCUGUGCAACAACCGCAUACCAAUAACGCCUCGAUUCUGACAUACCGGUGAUUACGUCAGCUUUAUAAUCGUAUCACGCAACGCAAUCGGUUUUGUCGCGCAAUAUUGAUAAACCAGUUAAGAAUAAAUACUCGUUUGAUGUGCACCGAGUGGACCGUGAUGGAAGAAAUAGGUAAGAGACGAGGUAAAAGUUUAUGCCAGAGCAAAAAGUGAAGCGAAAUCUCCAGCAACUAGAAACGUUUAGUAACCAUGAACCCAAGAGAGUCCCUUCAAAAAGACAAUAUCGUCACGUAUGUAACGUCUUAAAAUUAUAUAUCAUUGACUCUGUUUUUAUGACGUUUCUGCAAUGAAACACGGCGCCUCCAUGACGCCACUACGUAUAUUAGUUUGCUUGCUAUUUGUCGAUAAUAUCAUCGCUUGGAGCGUAACACCGAGGGAUUUGAAAUGAAUGAAACAACCGUUUCAUUGAAGAAGAAGUUUGGCUGAAUCUGUACACCACUAACGAUAAUAUGUAAUUGAUGAUGAGGCGCGAAAUAACUCGAGAGCAUCAACGAGUGACUUAGUCAAACCAGCAAUUAAUCAAUAAAGAUAUUGAAACUCUGAACGUUGGAAACUGUUCCCGUGACAUAAAUGAUAUUUAUCAACGACCAGAUAACAUUUUAUUAAGUUACCAAAACUGAAUUAUGGAUACAUAGAUAAGUUUUAUUACCGACUUUGCGGUAUAAAAAAUUCCUCCUCGCAUUUUAUAUUUUUUAUGAUAUUUUAUAAUUACGAAUAAAACGAACGUUAUAUCUUUAUAGAAGAAAUUUUUCGAAAUACACGAGAUUCAUAGCAUCAA